UAGGGAAUAUUGCACAAUGGGCGAAAGCCUGAUGCAGCAACGCCGCGUGUGCGAUGAAGGCCUUCGGGUCGUAAAGCACUUUUCUGGGAGAUGAGAAAGGACAGUAUCUCAGGAAUAAGUCUCGGCUAACUACGUGCCAGCAGCCGCGGUAAAACGUAGGAGGCAAGCGUUAUCCGGAUUCACUGGGUGUAAAGCGCGUGCAGGCGGUUCGGUAAGUUGGGCGUGAAAUCUCCUGGCUCAACUAGGAGAGGUCGUUCAAUACUACCGGACUUGAGAGUGGUAGAGGAAGAUGGAAUUCCCGGUGUAGUGGUGAAAUGCGUAGAUAUCGGGAGGAACACCAGUGGCGAAGGCGAUCUUCUGGACCAUUUCUGACGCUCAGACGCGACAGCUAGGGUGGCAAACG
RNAcentral lists this ribosomal RNA (403 nucleotides) under uncultured bacterium. RNAcentral describes it as "bacterial SSU rRNA". It matches the Rfam family "Bacterial small subunit ribosomal RNA", at positions 355 to 774 of the family's 1533-position model. The record is from RNAcentral.